This is a long non-coding RNA of Limulus polyphemus (Atlantic horseshoe crab), 356 nucleotides long. RefSeq lists it as uncharacterized. The transcript has 2 exons. The record is from RefSeq and is a predicted model, not a curated record. NCBI's taxonomy places the organism in Eukaryota, Metazoa, Arthropoda, Merostomata, Xiphosura, Limulidae.
CUUUUUUCAGGCUUAGGCACAAGUGGUGCGUUCGGUAGUGGAAGUUCACUGUUUGGUGGGUCAAACUUAAGUUUUGGGAGCAGUUCGACUGCUUUCAAGCCUCUAGGUAAAUAGUGGUAGUUAUCCAGGCGGAAGUGGACUGAGCACGAGUACGUUUGGAAGCACAGCUCCAGGAACACCUCUUCCAGUGCAAAAUGAAACUUUUCAGCUUCAGAAACCACCACUAGGCAACAAACGAGGAAAACGGUGGACAAGUGCUUGAAAUACUGUUUAUUAUACAUUUGAAUUGAAAGUUAGAUUGCUUGGGUAGUUUUCUUGUACUGAUUUAGUAAUAAAAACAAAUUAUAACAUUGCCA